RNAcentral lists this ribosomal RNA (222 nucleotides) under uncultured bacterium. RNAcentral describes it as "partial 16S ribosomal RNA". It matches the Rfam family "Bacterial small subunit ribosomal RNA", at positions 109 to 334 of the family's 1533-position model. The record is from RNAcentral.
AGUAACACGUGGGCGACCUGCCUUGGGGUGGGGAAUAACGCUGGGAAACCAGCGCUAAUACCGCAUACGCUCGCGGCUUCAUAGCCGUGAGGAAAGCUUGAUGCGCUCUAAGAGGGGCCUGCGGCGGAUUAGCUAGUCGGUGGGGUAACGGCCUACCGAGGCGACGAUCCGUAGCUGGUCUGAGAGGAUGAUCAGCCACACUGGGACUGAGACACGGCCCAG